RNAcentral lists this ribosomal RNA (300 nucleotides) under uncultured bacterium. RNAcentral describes it as "bacterial SSU rRNA". It matches the Rfam family "Bacterial small subunit ribosomal RNA", at positions 217 to 507 of the family's 1533-position model. The record is from RNAcentral.
GCGAUUGGAGCGGCCGAUAUCAGAUUAGGUAGUUGGUGAGGUAAAGGCUCACCAAGCCGACGAUCUGUAGCUGGUCUGAGAGGACGACCCAAGCCACACUGGGACUGAGACACGGCCCAGACUCCUACGGGAGGCAGCAGUGGGGAAUUUUGGACAAUGGGCGCAAGCCUGAUCCAGCAAUGCCGCGUGCAGGAUGAAGGCCUUCGGGUUGUAAACUGCUUUUGUACGGAACGAAACGGUGAGCUCUAAUACAGUUUGCUAAUGACGGUACCGUAAGAAUAAGCACCGGCUAACUACGUG